UCAAAGAUUAAGCCAUGCAUGUCUAAGUACAUGCCGAAAUAAGGCGAAACCGCGAAUGGCUCAUUAAAUCAGUUAUGGUUCCUUGGAUUGUUUCAUCCUACUUGGAUAACUGUGGCAAUUCUAGAGCUAAUACAUGCAGUGAGCCUGAAGCCCUUUGGGCGACGGGUGCUUUUAUUAGACCAAGAUCAAUCGGGCUUCGGCCCGUAUUGUGUGGUGACUCUGGAUAACUUUGUGCUGAUCGCAUGGCCACGAGCCGGCGACGUUUCUUUCAAGUGUCUGCCUUAUCAACUUUCGAUGGUAGGUUACUUGCCUACCAUGGUUGUUACGGGUGACGGAGAAUCAGGGUUCGAUUCCGGAGAGGGAGCCUGAGAAACGGCUACCACAUCCAAGGAAGGCAGCAGGCACGCAAAUUACCCACUCCCGGCACGGGGAGGUAGUGACGAAAAAUAACAAUACGGGACUCUUUUGAGGCCCCGUAAUUGAAAUGAGUACACUCUAAAUCCUUUAACGAGGAUCAAUUGGAGGGCAAGUCUGGUGCCAGCAGCCGCGGUAAUUCCAGCUCCAAUAGCGUAUACUAAAGCUGCUGCGGUUGAAAAGCUCGUAGUUGGAUCUCAGUUCCAGACGAGUAGUGCGUCCACCCGACGCUACAGCUCGUACUGAACAUAAUGCCCGUCUCGUCUUGGUGCCCUUCAUUGGGUGCCUCGAAGUGACCGGUGAUGUUACUUUGAAAAAAUUGGAGUGCUCAAAGCAGGCGAGUCGCCUGAACACACUUGCAUGGAAUAAUAGAGCAAGACCUCGUUUCUGUUCUGUUGGUUUUUGGAAUACGAGGUAAUGAUCAAGAGGGACGGACGGGGGCAUUCGUAUUGCGGCGCUAGAGGUGAAAUUCUUGGACCGUCGCAAGACGAACUACUGCGAAAGCAUUUGCCAAGAAUGUUUUCUUUGAUCAAGAACGAAAGUCAGAGGUUCGAAGGCGAUCAGAUACCGCCCUAGUUCUGACCAUAAACGAUGCCAACCAGCAAUCCGCCUGAGUUACUCAAAUGACUCGGCGGGCAGCUUCCGGGAAACCAAAGUAUUUGGGUUCCGGGGGAAGUAUGGUUGCAAAGCUG
RNAcentral lists this ribosomal RNA (1106 nucleotides) under Amblyomma fimbriatum (goanna tick). RNAcentral's name for it is "SSU rRNA". It matches the Rfam family "Eukaryotic small subunit ribosomal RNA", at positions 37 to 1139 of the family's 1831-position model. The record is from RNAcentral. Lineage: Eukaryota; Metazoa; Arthropoda; Arachnida; Ixodida; Ixodidae.